This 254-nucleotide ribosomal RNA is filed under the name uncultured bacterium. Its description in RNAcentral is "partial 16S ribosomal RNA". It matches the Rfam family "Bacterial small subunit ribosomal RNA", at positions 524 to 776 of the family's 1533-position model. The record is from RNAcentral.
UACGUAGGGCGCAAGCGUUGUCCGGAAUUAUUGGGCGUAAAGAGCUCGUAGGCGGCUUGUCGCGUCGGAUGUGAAAACCUGCGGCUCAACCGUGUGGUCUGCAGUCGAUACGGGCAGGCUGGAGUUCGGUAGGGGAGACUGGAAUUCCUGGUGUAGCGGUGAAAUGCGCAGAUAUCAGGAGGAACACCGGUGGCGAAGGCGGGUCUCUGGGCCGUAACUGACGCUGAGGAGCGAAAGCGUGGGGAGCGAACAGG